This 429-nucleotide ribosomal RNA is filed under the name Actinomycetes bacterium. RNAcentral describes it as "Actinobacteria bacterium partial 16S ribosomal RNA". It matches the Rfam family "Bacterial small subunit ribosomal RNA", at positions 355 to 776 of the family's 1533-position model. Lineage: Bacteria; Bacillati; Actinomycetota; Actinomycetes. The record is from RNAcentral.
UAGGGAAUCUUCCGCAAUGGGCGAAAGCCUGACGGAGCAACGCCGCGUGAGUGAUGAAGGUCUUCGGAUCGUAAAACUCUGUUAUUAGGGAAGAACAAAUGUGUAAGUAACUAUGCACGUCUUGACGGUACCUAAUCAGAAAGCCACGGCUAACUACGUGCCAGCAGCCGCGGUAAUACGUAGGUGGCAAGCGUUAUCCGGAAUUAUUGGGCGUAAAGCGCGCGUAGGCGGUUUUUUAAGUCUGAUGUGAAAGCCCACGGCUCAACCGUGAAGGGUCAUUGGAAACUGGAAAACUGGAGUGCAGAAGAGGAAAGUGGAAUUCCAUGUGUAGCGGUGAAAUGCGCAGAGAUAUGGAGGAACACCAGUGGCGAGGGCGACUUUCUGGUCUGUAACUGACGCUGAUGUGCGAAAGCGUGGGGAUCAAACAGG